Molecule: ribosomal RNA, 515 nt
Filed under: uncultured bacterium
Lineage: Bacteria
Description: partial 16S ribosomal RNA
Rfam family: Bacterial small subunit ribosomal RNA
Source: RNAcentral
GAUGAACGCUGGCGGCGUGCCUAAUACAUGCAAGUCGAGCGAAUGGAUUAAGAGCUUGCUCUUAUGAAGUUAGCGGCGGACGGGUGAGUAACACGUGGGUAACCUGCCCAUAAGACUGGGAUAACUCCGGGAAACCGGGGCUAAUACCGGAUAACAUUUUGAACCGCAUGGUUCGAAAUUGAAAGGCGGCUUCGGCUGUCACUUAUGGAUGGACCCGCGUCGCAUUAGCUAGUUGGUGAGGUAAUGGCUCACCAAGGCAACGAUGCGUAGCCGACCUGGGAGGGUGAUCGGCCACACUGGGACUGAGACACGGCCCAGACUCCUACGGGAGGCAGCAGUAGGGAAUCUUCCGCAAUGGACGAAAGUCUGACGGAGCAACGCCGCGUGAGUGAUGAAGGCUUUCGGGUCGUAAAACUCUGUUGUUAGGGAAGAACAAGUGCUAGUUGAAUAAGCUGGCACCUUGACGGUACCUAACCAGAAAGCCACGGCUAACUACGUGCCAGCCACCGCGGUAA